GGCCAGAUUGUCAUAAUUAUGAGCCACGGUUAAGCUUGGUGCUUCCUCUUUGUUUCUUUUGUUUUCUUUGUUGUUGAAGAAUAAUGGAUAGUUUCUAAAUACUGAGAAGUAACUCUGUGGAAUAAAUGAGAGAUUGAUUUAUGAGUUAUUGAUUACAUAAUUAGAAUAUUGAGUAAUUGAAUUAUAUGAGAAGUUAUUGGAAGAUUGAUUAUGCAUGGAAGAUUAUGAUUGUUGUUUAUUGAGAGUUGUGUGUGUGUGUUUUGACAGAGGAAGUUUGUGAUUACAAGAAUUCUGUGAAUUCAGAUUGGUUUGAGUGAAGUUUGUUAUUCUUAGUGUUGGAUGGAAUUUAUUGAGUUUGAGCGGUCUUUUGAAAGUGUAGGGUUACACAUUGUGGUUAUCAAUUGAUAUAGGAGUAUUGUUAUUG
This 424-nucleotide long non-coding RNA is filed under the name Physcomitrium patens. RNAcentral describes it as "long non-coding RNA (PPAT_LNC007315)". The record is from RNAcentral. Lineage: Eukaryota; Viridiplantae; Streptophyta; Bryopsida; Funariales; Funariaceae.